RNAcentral lists this transfer RNA (71 nucleotides) under Candidatus Vidania fulgoroideorum. RNAcentral describes it as "tRNA-Trp". It matches the Rfam family "tRNA". From Rfam's summary of the family: Transfer RNA (tRNA) molecules are approximately 80 nucleotides in length. Their secondary structure includes four short double-helical elements and three loops (D, anti-codon, and T loops). The record is from RNAcentral. Lineage: Bacteria; Pseudomonadati; Pseudomonadota; Betaproteobacteria.
AGAGAUAUAUCUUAACGGUAAAGUUUUGGUCUCCAAAACCAAAGUUGUAGGUUCAAUUCCUUCUAUCUCUG